Molecule: long non-coding RNA, 604 nt
Filed under: Vigna radiata
Lineage: Eukaryota; Viridiplantae; Streptophyta; Magnoliopsida; Fabales; Fabaceae
Description: long non-coding RNA (VRAD_LNC001074)
Source: RNAcentral
UUAUCUUUUUCUUCUUUCUGCUGAAUUUCUUGAAAUAAUUAAGAACCCCAAGCACUUGUUUCCAUGUUUCCAUCAUAGGAACUUUGAUCUCCAAUCUCUUGAAUGGACCACAUAAAUUUUUUUUCUUUCCUAUGAUAUUUCUUUUUAUGAGGAAGGGGUUUUGCAUAUGAUCUUUUCUUCUUUCCUUUCUUCCUCUUUUUCUUAAUCUCCUCCCUCAAAUUUCUUUUUUUCUCUUUUCUUCUUUUCUUCUUUAUUUUUGCAUAUUUUUUCUUUUUUUCUUUUUUCUCAACCACUGCUUUUUCUUCCUCACUCAACCUUUUCUCCUCUAUCUUUACCUCUUUUAUCUCUAUCUUUUCCUCAUCAACAACCUUCUCUAUUUUUAUCUCUUCUCUCUUUUCUUCCUCUCUUUUCUCAUCAUCUCAUUUUAUCUUCUCCUCCUCUAUCUUUUCCUCAUAUAUCUCUAUCUCUUCUUCCUCUAUCAUUUCCUCCUCAAUAACCUUAUCAUUUUCAGAGAUAGUGGCUUGACAUUCCUCUUUAGGGUUAACUUCAGUAUUAACCCCAAUAAUACCCAGAGACUUCAACAUGCAAGAGAGUUGUUCCUGCC